This 440-nucleotide ribosomal RNA is filed under the name uncultured bacterium. RNAcentral describes it as "partial 16S ribosomal RNA". It matches the Rfam family "Bacterial small subunit ribosomal RNA", at positions 339 to 795 of the family's 1533-position model. The record is from RNAcentral.
CUACGGGGCGCUGCAGUGGGGAAUAUUGCACAAUGGGGGAAACCCUGAUGCAGCAACGCCGCGUGGAGGAUGACGCAUUUCGGUGUGUAAACUCCUUUUAUAUAGGAAGAUAAUGACGGUACUAUAUGAAUAAGCACCGGCUAACUCCGUGCCAGCAGCCGCGGUAAUGACGGAGGGUGCAAGCGUUACUCGGAAUCACUGGGCGUAAAGCGCGCGCAGGCGGCCUUUUAAGUUGGAUGUGAAAGCCUAUGGCUUAACCAUAGAACUGCAUCCAAAACUAUCAGGCUAGAAUCUGGGAGGGGAAGAUGGAAUUAGUUGUGUAGGGGUAAAAUCCGUAGAGAUAACUAGGAAUACCAAAAGCGAAGGCGAUCUUCUGGAACAGUACUGACGCUGAGGCGCGAAAGCGUGGGGAGCAAACAGGAUUAGAUACCCUAGUAGUC